AACGGCGAGUGAAGCGGCAAAAGCUCAAAUUUGAAAUCUGGCCCCGUCAGGAGCCCGAGUUGUAAUUUGGAGAGGACACUUUCGGGUGUGGGCCGCGGCGUAAGUCCCUUGGAACACGGGCGUCAUAGAGGGUGAGAAUCCCCGUCUUGCGCCGCCGGACCACGCCCAUGCGAAGUUCCUUCGACGAGUCGAGUUGUUUGGGAAUGCAGCUCUAAGUGGGUGGUAAAUUUCAUCUAAAGCUAAAUAUUGGCCAGAGACCGAUAGCGAACAAGUAGAGUGAUCGAAAGGUUAAAAGCACCUUGAAAAGGGAGUUAAAUAGCACGUGAAAUUGUUGAAAGGGAAGCGCUUGCAACCAGACUCGGUCGCGGGGGCUCAGCGGGCAUGCUUGCCCGUGUACUCCCCCGCGUUCGGGCCAGCAUCGGUUCCGGCGGUUGGUCAAAGGCCCCUGGAAUGUGUCGUCCUCCGGGACGUGUUAUAGCCAGGGGCGCAAUGCUGCCAGCCGGGACCGAGGAACGCGCUUCGGCACGGAUGCUGGCAUAAUGGUUGUAAGCGGCCCGUCUUGAAACACGGACCAAGGAGUCUAACAUCCACGCGAGUGUUCGGGUGUCAAACCCGUGCGCGCAGUGAAAGCGAACGGAGGUAGGAGCCCUCACGGGUGCACCAUCGACCGAUCCUGAAGUCUUCGGAUGGAUUUGAGUAGGAGCGUGGCUGUUGGGACCCGAAAGAUGGUGAACUAUGCCUGAAUAGGGUGAAGCCAGAGGAAACUCUGGUGGAGGCUCGCAGCGGUUCUGACGUGCAAAUCGAUCGUCAAAUUU
This 815-nucleotide ribosomal RNA is filed under the name Keratinophyton indicum. RNAcentral describes it as "eukaryotic LSU rRNA". It matches the Rfam family "Eukaryotic large subunit ribosomal RNA", at positions 85 to 912 of the family's 3401-position model. The record is from RNAcentral. Lineage: Eukaryota; Fungi; Ascomycota; Eurotiomycetes; Onygenales; Onygenaceae.